CUUGGCGUUGGUUGUCCAAGUUUAAGGUGGUAGGCUGAAAUCUUAGGUAAAUCCGGGGUUUCAAGGCCGAGAGCUGAUGACGAGUCGUCUUUUAGAUGACGAAGUGGUUGAUGCCAUGCUUCCAAGAAAAGCUUCUAAGCUUCAGGUAACCAGGAACCGUACCCCAAACCGACACAGGUGGUCGGGUAGAGAAUACCAAGGCGCUUGAGAGAACUCGGGUGAAGGAACUAGGCAAAAUGGCACCGUAACUUCGGGAGAAGGUGCGCCGGCUAGGGUGAAGGAUUUACUCCGUAAGCUCUGGCUGGUCGAAGAUACCAGGCCGCUGCGACUGUUUAUUAAAAACACAGCACUCUGCAAACACGAAAGCGGACGUAUAGGGUGUGACGCCUCCCCGGUGCCGGAAGGUUAAUUGAUGGGGUUAGCGCAAGCGAAGCUCUUGAUCGAAGCCCCGGUAAACGGCGGCCGUAACAAUAACGGUCCUAAGGUAGCGAAAUUCCUUGUCGGGUAAGUUCCGACCUGCGCGAAUGGCGUAACGAUGGCGGCGCUGUCUCCACCCGAGACUCAGUGAAAUUGAAAUCGCUGUGAAGAUGCAGUGUAUCCGCGGCUAGACGGAAAGACCCCGUGAACCUUUACUGUAGCUUUGCACUGGACUUUGAGCCUGCUUGUGUAGGAUAGGUGGGAGGCUUUGAAGCGUGGACGCCAGUUCGCGUGGAGCCAUCCUUGAAAUACCACCCUGGCAUGCUUGAGGUUCUAACUCUGGUCCGUAAUCCGGAUCGAGGACAGUGUAUGGUGGGCAGUUUGACUGGGGCGGUCUCCUCCUAAAGAGUAACGGAGGAGUACGAAGGUGCGCUCAGACCGGUCGGAAAUCGGUCGCAGAGUAUAAAGGCAAAAGCGCGCUUGACUGCGAGACAGACACGUCGAGCAGGUACGAAAGUAGGUCUUAGUGAUCCGGUGGUUCUGUAUGGAAGGGCCAUCGCUCAACGGAUAAAAGGUACUCCGGGGAUAACAGGCUGAUACCGCCCAAGAGUUCAUAUCGACGGCGGUGUUUGGCACCUCGAUGUCGGCUCAUCACAUCCUGGGGCUGAAGCCGGUCCCAAGGGUAUGGCUGUUCGCCAUUUAAAGUGGUACGCGAGCUGGGUUUAGAACGUCGUGAGACAGUUCGGUCCCUAUUUGCCGUGGACGUUUGAGAUUUGAGAGGGGCUGCUCCUAGUACGAGAGGACCGGAGUGGACGAACCUCUGGUGUUCCGGUUGUCACGCCAGUGGCAUUGCCGGGUAGCUAUGUUCGGAAAAGAUAACCGCUGAAAGCAUCUAAGCGGGAAACUUGCCUCAAGAUGAGAUCUCACUGGGAACUUGAUUCCCCUGAAGGGCCGUCGAAGACUACGACGUUGAUAGGCUGGGUGUGUAAGCGUUGUGAGGCGUUGAGCUAACCAGUACUAAUUGCCCGUGAGGCUUGACC
This 1457-nucleotide ribosomal RNA is filed under the name metagenome. RNAcentral's name for it is "bacterial LSU rRNA". It matches the Rfam family "Bacterial large subunit ribosomal RNA", at positions 1491 to 2925 of the family's 2925-position model. The record is from RNAcentral.